RNAcentral lists this ribosomal RNA (305 nucleotides) under uncultured bacterium. RNAcentral describes it as "bacterial SSU rRNA". It matches the Rfam family "Bacterial small subunit ribosomal RNA", at positions 333 to 654 of the family's 1533-position model. The record is from RNAcentral.
UUGUUCCUACGGGGGGCAGCAGUCGGGAAUAUUGCGCAAUGGAGGAAACUCUGACGCAGUGACGCCGCGUAUAGGAAGAAGGUUUUCGGAUUGUAAACUAUUGUCGUUAGGGAAGAUAAAAGACUGUACCUAAGGAGGAAGCCCCGGCUAACUACGUGCCAGCAGCCGCGGUAAUACGUAUGGUGCAAGCGUUAUCCGGAUUUACUGGGUGUAAAGGGAGCGCAGGCGGCACGGCAAGCCUGAUGUGAAAGCCCGCGGCCCAACCGCGGGACUGCAUUGGGAACUACCGGGCUGGAGUGCCGGCG